RNAcentral lists this ribosomal RNA (188 nucleotides) under uncultured bacterium. Its description in RNAcentral is "partial 16S ribosomal RNA". It matches the Rfam family "Bacterial small subunit ribosomal RNA", at positions 1314 to 1500 of the family's 1533-position model. The record is from RNAcentral.
GCCUGCAUGAAGUCGGAAUUGCUAGUAAUCGUAGGUCAGCAUACUACGGUGAAUACGUUCCCGGGCCUUGUACACACCGCCCGUCAAACCAUGAGAGUUGGCAACACCCGAAGUCGGUAGUCUAACCGCAAGGAGGACGCCGCCAAAGGUGGGGGUUGAUGAUUAGGGUUAAGUCGUAACAAGGUAAC